AGGGUUUGAUUCUGGCUCAGAACGAACGCUGGCGGCAGGCUUAACACAUGCAAGUUGAACGGGAACAUACGAUAGCUUGCUAUAGUAUGUGAGAGUGGCGCACGGGUGAGUAAUACAUGGGAACAUACCUUGAAGUGGGGGAUAACUUCUGGAAACGGAUGCUAAUACCGCAUAUACCCUGAGGGGGAAAGAUUUAUCGCUUUAAGAUUGGCCCAUGGCAGAUUAGGUAGUUGGUGGGGUAAAGGCCUACCAAGCCGACGAUCUGUAGCUGGUCUGAGAGGACGAUCAGCCACAUUGGGACUGAGACACGGCCCAG
This 316-nucleotide ribosomal RNA is filed under the name uncultured bacterium. Its description in RNAcentral is "bacterial SSU rRNA". It matches the Rfam family "Bacterial small subunit ribosomal RNA", at positions 8 to 334 of the family's 1533-position model. The record is from RNAcentral.